AGUGAACGCUGGCGGUAGGCCUAACACAUGCAAGUCGAACGGCAGCACAGUAAGAGCUUGCUCUUACGGGUGGCGAGUGGCGGACGGGUGAGGAAUACAUCGGAAUCUACUUUUUCGUGGGGGAUAACGUAGGGAAACUUACGCUAAUACCGCAUACGACCUACGGGUGAAAGCAGGGGAUCUUCGGACCUUGCGCGAUUGAAUGAGCCGAUGUCGGAUUAGCUAGUUGGCGGGGUAAAGGCCCACCAAGGCGACGAUCCGUAGCUGGUCUGAGAGGAUGAUCAGCCACACUGGAACUGAGACACGGUCCAGACUCCUACGGGAGGCAGCAGUGGGGAAUAUUGGGCAAUGGGCGCAAGCCUGAUGCAGCCAUGCCGCGUGGGUGAAGAAGGCCUUCGGGUUGUAAAGCCCUUUUGUUGGGAAAGAAAAGCAGCAGGUUAAUACCCCGCUGUUCUGACGGUACCCAAAGAAUAAGCACCGGCUAACUUCGUG
RNAcentral lists this ribosomal RNA (492 nucleotides) under uncultured bacterium. Its description in RNAcentral is "partial 16S ribosomal RNA". It matches the Rfam family "Bacterial small subunit ribosomal RNA", at positions 29 to 507 of the family's 1533-position model. The record is from RNAcentral.